GACGAACGCUGGCGGCGUGCUUAACAUAUGCAAGUCGAACGGUAAGGCCCCUCCGGGGGUACACGAGUGGCGAACGGGUGAGUAACACGUGAGUAACCUGCCCCUAACACUGGGAUAACUCCUGGAAACAGGUGCUAAUACCGGAUACCAACUUCCUAGGCAUCUAUGAAGUUUGAAAGCUCCGGCGGUUAGGGAUGGACUCGCGGCCUAUCAGCUUGUUGGUGAGGUAACGGCUCACCAUGGCUACGAUACAUAGGGGGACUGAGAGGUUAACCCCCACACUGGUACUGAGACACGGACCAG
RNAcentral lists this ribosomal RNA (303 nucleotides) under uncultured bacterium. RNAcentral describes it as "bacterial SSU rRNA". It matches the Rfam family "Bacterial small subunit ribosomal RNA", at positions 28 to 334 of the family's 1533-position model. The record is from RNAcentral.